Long non-coding RNA from Plodia interpunctella (Indianmeal moth), 1974 nucleotides. RefSeq lists it as uncharacterized. Lineage: Eukaryota; Metazoa; Arthropoda; Insecta; Lepidoptera; Pyralidae. The record is from RefSeq and is a predicted model, not a curated record. The transcript has 2 exons.
AUGUGGAUGACGCUUUAUUGAAAUAAGGGAAUAUCAACUUUAGUCUUUAGCCGUAAAUUUCUAUUUCCAAAUAUAGUCCUUAGAUGUUUUAGAAUCUGAAAAAAAUGCAGAAAAUUAUGUUACCACAGCAGCCGUCAAGGUUUCGUCUGCAGCCAUGACGAUAGCACCAAACAGCAUGGCGUCGAACGUUCCCAAUGCCCACUCUUCUCCCCACCUGUAAGGAUAAAUUGUGAUCUUCUUCUUUUCGUGUGGUUGGCAAAUCAACGCUCCAUUGGGUGCUACCUAAAUAUAUUCUUGAUAGAAUCGAGCCACUUCGAUGGCUUCAUCAUCAAGUCAGCCAGAGUACAGGUAUUUGGACACUCGGGACAGGCGAGGAGAUGAGCCAUCGAUUGUGGGGAGAAGCAAAACAUGUUGUGUAUCACCAGACGUCGUGAUAUUUCCGUAUAAGGAAUCCAUACUAUCCUCUGUAUCUCUCGCUCACCUGAGCAAAUUAUAGCAGCUUCCUAGACGUAAAGAUGCACAGUGGUAGACAUAAAGAUGCCUAUGACGUCAACUAGGUUUCGACAACCAAGGAGUUGGCAAACUAUUUGAAUCCACACUUAUAAGUGUUAAAGAAUUUCACGUAAAAUAGGAGCAAUGGAUUGAGACUAUACAUUUUUGUUCUGGAGAGUUAGAGCCAACUUAACUGUACAUAUUGAUGAGGCAGGCAGGCCUUAGAAUGAAUACUCUACAGCAUACCAGGUAACAGCAAAGCAGGACGCAGCAUUAUCAUCUGGGUCGUACAGCAAGCAGCUAGUGCUUCCCGACUCACGCGCAUUCAUCUCCACGUCCAGUAAUCGUUCUAGCACCGACCGCUCGCUAGCCACCCAGUUCAGACCAUCAAGGGCCUAAAAUAUGAGAAGAAUCUGAGAAGUCUAAAGGCCUAUCACGAAACAUACAAACUCGUAACACGUUUCUAACGUCCACAUCUUUUUUUACCGCAUCGUGUAACAUAAGAGAGAAAGUGUUGUGAGUCCAGUAGCUUAGUUUUAAAAAAAUCAAAUGAAUCUUUUAAAAGUUUAUUUUUCUUCAAAUAAGACACAUAGUAAAUAUAUACCUAGAGGAAUCGUUACUUAUUGUACAAGAUACCUAAUUAACCUGUAUUGUAAGAGAAUGGUGUUUGAAAUUAAAAAAUCUGUAAUACAGAACAUCACGUAUACCUACUACGGGCUAAACGUCUAAAAUUACAAUUUACACUUCAUUGAUAAGUUGGCUACAGUUGAGCUAUAACAUAUCUAUAAAUAAAUAGGUUACAUACCUAAUAAUACGGUAUUAUGUCUCUUUAUCUUAGGUAUUAGACAGAGCCAAGAGUUUUCGAUUUUGGUUGUGGAAUUGAGAAACCUAUAAAAAGAAGACUUACCCUUUCAAAAAACGCAGCCAAAAAUUGUGUUAAAAGAGAAUGAGCUGGUUCAUUUACGCCAAGCGUUAUCGCUGGAAACGAAUUUAAUUAAUUAUCAAAUUUAUUUAUUGGUCAAAUAAAUUAAUAAUUAAUCAACAUAAAUAUACGGACCUGCUUCUGGACCCGAUAGUUGCUUGUAUACUGCCCUGUAAUCAAUUAAUAAAAUGUAAUGUUCAAUAAAUAAGGAUGAUUGGCAUCAAAAGCAUUCGCAAAGAAGACUUAAUUGAGACUGACUUGAGUAGAGAGGGUUAACAUCAGGCAAACGGCCGGUCGGAAAAACAGAGUCGAAUCUUACUCUUUAGGAUACAAUAAGCGUUGAUGACAGAGAGUACUUAAUUCGGUAAACAAAGAGUAGUUAACUAGGUACAAAGGUACUACCUACCUUAAUUGUGGGGCAACAACCACUCGACAUGUAGCAAGGGGGCCUGUCAUAGCCCUCAUUUCUUUGGACUCCUCGUUCCUAAAAAUAAACCGAUUUCUUUGUAACUAAAAUUUAAAAGCUUAUGUAUUAAAAAUAAAUUGCCAUUAAUGUUUUA